Molecule: ribosomal RNA, 425 nt
Filed under: uncultured bacterium
Lineage: Bacteria
Description: bacterial SSU rRNA
Rfam family: Bacterial small subunit ribosomal RNA
Source: RNAcentral
GUGGGGAAUAUUGCACAAUGGGGGAAACCCUGAUGCAGCAACGCCGCGUGAGUGAUGAAGGCCUUCGGGUUGUAAAGCUCUGUCUUUUGGGACGAUAAUGACGGUACCAAAAGAGGAAGCCACGGCUAACUACGUGCCAGCAGCCGCGGUAAUACGUAGGUGGCAAGCGUUGUCCGGAUUUACUGGGCGUAAAGGAUGCGUAGGCGGAUAUUUAAGUGGGAUGUGAAAUACCCGGGCUCAACCUGGGUGCUGCAUUCCAAACUGGGUAUCUGGAGUGCGGGAGAGGAGAGUGGAAUUCCUAGUGUAGCGGUGAAAUGCGUAGAGAUUAGGAAGAACACCAGUGGCGAAGGCGACUCUCUGGACCGUAACUGACGCUGAGGCAUGAAAGCGUGGGGAGCAAACAGGAUUAGAUACCCCAGUAGUCC